This 541-nucleotide ribosomal RNA is filed under the name Cynoglossus robustus. RNAcentral's name for it is "partial 16S ribosomal RNA". It matches the Rfam family "Bacterial large subunit ribosomal RNA", at positions 1908 to 2606 of the family's 2925-position model. The record is from RNAcentral. Lineage: Eukaryota; Metazoa; Chordata; Actinopteri; Pleuronectiformes; Cynoglossidae.
UGAUAUUAAUUCAAUGGCCGCGGUAUUUUAACCGUGCAAAGGUAGCGUAAUCACUUGCCCUUUAAAUGAGGACCCGUAUGAACGGCUAAACGAGGGCUUAACUGUCUCCUUUUCCUAAUCAAUGAAAUUGAUCUCCCCGUGCAAAAGCGGGGAUGAUAAUAUAAGACGAGAAGACCCUGUGGAGCUUCAAGAUACCCUAUAGACCCGCUAAAAAUUUUCUAAUAAAGAACUAAAGCUAAAAGUAACUAGUAGAUAUCUUCAGUUGGGGCGACUGCGGAACACACAAAACUCCCGCGAAGACUAAGAACAUAUAAUUAUUCUUAAAACUUAGAACCACCAUUCAAGACAAUAGAAUCUCUAACUUUUUUUGAUCCAACCCGUUGAUCAACGAACCAAGUUACCCCAGGGAUAACAGCGCAAUCCCCUUACAGAGUCCCUAUCGACAAGGGGGUUUACGACCUCGAUGUUGGAUCAGGAUAUCCUAAUGGUGCAACCGUUAUUAAGGGUUCGUUUGUUCAACGAUUAAAAUCCUACGUGAUCU